AAUGAACGCUGGCGGCGUGCCUAACACAUGCAAGUCGUGCGCGAAAGGGGCUUCGGCCCUGAGUAGAGCGGCGAACGGGUGAGUAACACGUGGGUGACCUGCCUGGGGGUGGGGGAUAACCUGGGGAAACUCGGGCUAAUACCGCAUACGUUCCCGGAGCUACGGUUCCGGGAGGAAAGGUGGCCUCUGCUUGCAAGCUACCGCUCCCAGAGGGGCCCGCGGCUGAUUAGCUAGUUGGUGGGGUAAUGGCCCACCAAGGCGACGAUCAGUAGCCGGCCUGAGAGGGUGAUCGGCCACACUGGAACUGAGACACGGUCCAGACUCCUACGGGAGGCAGCAGUGGGGAAUAUUGGACAAUGGGGGCAACCCUGAUCCAGCAACGCCGCGUGGGGGAUGAAGGUCUUCGGAUUGUAAACCCCUGUUAAGAGGGACGAAGGCUUUCGGGCAAACAGUCCGGAAGCUUGACGGUACCUCUAGAGGAAGCCCCGGCUAACUCUGUGCCAGCAGCCGCGGUAAUGUCUAG
Molecule: ribosomal RNA, 523 nt
Filed under: uncultured bacterium
Lineage: Bacteria
Description: bacterial SSU rRNA
Rfam family: Bacterial small subunit ribosomal RNA
Source: RNAcentral